AUCGGGGUAGAGGUGUACCAGCAAAAAGUGCAUUUGCCAGUUUAGCUUAUAGCAGUUCCCCGUAUGACACAAGCUAUACUGGCAGUUGUGUUCUGCACCAGGACUUUUGCCGGUGUGGCUAUGUUGGUCAGGGACCUGAUGUUUUGGGAGAAGUUUCAGCUAAAGCAGUUCAGUUGUUUCCAAGAAUGAGAUUCCGGGGAAAUAAGUUGUUUGGCUUAAUUUCUUACAACCCUUUUGUUGAGAAGCCCUAGCACUCCCCUGCUUUGGAGAAGGGGCUUGAAAUUUGGCAAAGGGGAAGCCAAGACAUAUGCCGUCCUCGUGAAAAUGCACCCCAAACUUGGUCAGCUUGGCGCCUCUUAAAAAUCACGGCUUGUACAUGCUCAGCAGAGACAACACGUCAAGUGAACUAUGUCCCUUUAAAAUGUUAGGGAAAUUAAAUAUAAGAUUAAGGUGGCAAAAUCAAGUACUCCGAAGUCAAGAAAUUCAACUUUGGCAACAUAAAUUCAGCUUCACAGCACGUCUGUGGCUUGAGUUCAGAACAGAGUGGUGGGACUGACCAACGGCCUGGAAAAACACUCCUAGGAAGAGAGUUUGAAAAGGUUGGGAUUGAGAAGAGACAGGUAAAAGGAGACAUGAUGAAAGGACAUAAAACACUGAAUAGGUGGGAUACUGAGAGCUUCUUUACUCUGUCUCCUAACACAAGGGGGCAUUCAAUGACAUUAAAAGAUGAAAAAUGCAAAACUGGUAAAAGGAAAAACUUUUCCAAACAGUGUGAUUAGCCUGCGGAACUCACAGUCACAUGAAGUUGUCUUUCUUACUAUUAGGGACCAGGAUGAAACCUAUUGCUGGGGGCAGAUUAUCCCACAGCUGCUACUGCUGGGUUCUUUCACUUUCCUCUGAAGCAUCUGGCACUGGCCACUGUCAGAGAUAUGGACAAGGGACUGGAUGGGGCUAGGGUCUGAUCCAGGCCAGCAAUUCCUAUGCUCCUAUGUAUGGGAGGGAGUGUGUCCUAGUGGAAAGAACUCUGGUUUGGGCCUAAGGAUAUCUGGAUUCUAUUCCCAGCUCAGCUGCUGAAUGACAUUAGGCUUCACCUUUCUGUGCCUCAGUUUCCUAUGUGUAUAAAUGGGGGUAAAGUGCUUGGAGAUGUGCUGAUGGGAAAUGCUGUGUAAGAGCCAGGGGUUGUAAUGAUGUUCUAGCCCUGUAUUUGUUGUUAAGUGUUCCGGGUGGCAUGCAGCUCCCAUUCGAAGCGUUACUGUCUUGGGUAUGGUCAGAAGCAUCUUUAACCCUUGCCGGUCCUUGACUUCUGAGUACCAGAUCUGGCAGAGGUCAGAUUGCAUUCGCGCUGGGAGGGGAGGGUCUUGGCCUGUAAUAUUUGUACACCUUGUAAUGCUGCAAAGUACCCUGAGGCAUGUGCAGUGGGUUGCAUAAAUUGACAAAUAAGAGGUGAAUGGAACGGCAAACAUUGGGUAAAUGGGCUGCCAUGUGGAGUCUUACGUGUACCAGGCAGCAGGGUCUACUGUGUAGCUCCCAUCAAGGCAGUCAAGUUAUCCCACCAAUGAAACAGUCGAGCAGCUUUCAACUGACAGGCAUUUUUGCUGUCUCCGUAGAAACUGAUUUUAAUGUGACGUGAAUCACACUCACACGCUGCUUUCCACCCCCAGGCCUCGCUCCCGCCAGCAGCUCUGUGCAUGUGCCCACCUGGACGCUGCUUGCACAGAGCAGCCUGCAGGGCUGCAGCCUAAGUCCGUGCUACUGGUUCUGAGCCCCAAAGUGGUACUGAGCCAAGUGCCAGGCGUGGUAUUUCGGAUUAAGGCAUUCCCAUAGGUGUGGAUGGAACAGGCCGGGAGAUAAACCAGGGGCUCCAUAUAGCUCUGCCAGCCCCAGAUAAAGGACUAUGGAGGUUUUCAGCUGGAUGGUUUGGAACUGGGGUUGGCUUUCGCUUGUUUUUCCUCCUUCUUAAAAACUGUUUCUUGCCAUCAGCAGUAGAGCUCUCCAGUGUCGAGAGCAGGGGGGCUGGAGCUGGGAUUCUUCAAGUUCAAGGCCAAAAAGGGACAACAGUGAUCAUCUAGUCUGGCCUUCGAACACAGGCUAGAGACCUGCCACUGAAUUGUUCCUACAGCGGAGCUUGUAGAAAACAAAGUUUGUCUUGAUUUUUAAAAUUGUCCGUGAUGGGGAAUCUAUCACAAUCCUUGAAAAUACUUGCUGGCCAAUGCUGGAAAACAGGGCUGUGCUGAGUGGAAAUGAAAAUGCCAGGCUCCCAUUCCCCUGCGGUUCCUCUGUCUGCUGGGAGGCUCAACCUUGUUUGACAUCAGCUGUUUCUCCGAGUGCUUUCAGCAGCCUGCCAGCCUCUAAAAGGGAAUCGGAGGAGUGCCUGGGUUCCCAUCCGGAGUCUUCCAUUGCACCGAGAAGGCUCGUCCACAGCCAGUGCCAUCUGCGAUCGGCCUGUCUCCCUCCUAGCUGCCCUCCAGUAGGUUAACGGGCAAAGCA
Molecule: non-coding RNA, 2487 nt
Organism: Chelonoidis abingdonii (Abingdon island giant tortoise)
Lineage: Eukaryota; Metazoa; Chordata; Testudines; Testudinidae
Source: RefSeq, a predicted model, not a curated record